AGGAGUGAGAAAUGGUGUUUCCCUCUCAUGAAUAAAAACUGUGUAUCUAGAUGUUGCUGACAAAGAGCUGAAGUUACUAAACCAAUGAUAUACUCCCAGGGAAAUAUAGGUGAAAAAGAUACUAUUUUUUUUUCUUCUUUUUCCCUUUCCUAGCUCUUUAUCAGCGUUCAAUUCAACCCAAGGAACCAGGAACCGAGGAGGAAGGAAGUAAUUGACAUUCAAAGCCUCUAUUUUUAGACACCUUUACACUUUCUUUUGCUUCUAACUAGCAAGGAUUUUUCCAAACAAGCUUUUAAUUAGCAGGUCAACUCCAUCUAUAUCCAAAACCUUUCUCAUCUGGCCUGACCUCCCUCAUGAGAGUUGCUGUUCUACUAGCUGACUGAAAUUUGAUGUAUCCUCUCACCUCAACUUCCACAAGUCAAAACACGUCUGUGCUUUCUGGUCACCCACCUACCAAAGCAAUCCUCCAUUUGCUAAUGUGUGCCAAUGGUCGCUUGACUUCAACUUUGAAAGAAUCCUUCAAUGACAGCUGAAGCGAGACAUUUAGCAGCCACUGUCCUUUCUGUAUUCUGUGCCAGGCACAAGGACUCCAUUCCUCUUGAAAGUUUUAUCAUGUACAAGGCUAUUAACAUUAUGAGGAUAGGCUGAAGCAUGAAUAAAUCCUGAGACUUACUGAUGAUGUCAUUAUACUGGUCAAUAAAAUACAUAGAGGGAAGGGCUUCCCAUGCUACCAGGUUCAGUUAACUAAAUCAGGAUACACGAGCAAUUAAG
Molecule: long non-coding RNA, 771 nt
Filed under: Canis lupus familiaris (dog)
Lineage: Eukaryota; Metazoa; Chordata; Mammalia; Carnivora; Canidae
Description: lncRNA (ENSCAFG00040002469.1)
Source: RNAcentral